Molecule: transfer RNA, 47 nt
Filed under: Loxodonta cyclotis (African forest elephant)
Lineage: Eukaryota; Metazoa; Chordata; Mammalia; Proboscidea; Elephantidae
Description: partial tRNA-His
Source: RNAcentral
GUAGAUAUAGUUUAACUAAAACAUUAGGUUGUGGGCCUACAAAUAAG